AGCGAUGGGCAGUUGGAAGGGGGGCCGUUACACUGUAAGAGAGUGAGUAGCAGGUCUCACAGUGAACCGGUCUCUUUUCCUACUGUGUCAUGCCA
Chelonoidis abingdonii (Abingdon island giant tortoise) is the source of this 95-nucleotide microRNA precursor. Lineage: Eukaryota; Metazoa; Chordata; Testudines; Testudinidae. The record is from Ensembl.